UACGAAGGGGGCUAGCGUUGCUCGGAAUUACUGGGCGUAAAGGGCGCGUAGGCGGAUAUUUAAGUCAGGGGUGAAAGCCCGGGGCUCAACCUCGGAAUUGCCUUUGAUACUGGAUAUCUUGAGUUCGGGAGAGGAUGGUGGAAUUCCCAGUGUAGAGGCGAAAUUCGUAGAUAUUGGGAAGAACACCGAUGGCGAAGGCAGCCAUCUGGACCGACACUGACGCUGAGGCGCGAAAGCGUGGGGAGCAAACAGG
Molecule: ribosomal RNA, 253 nt
Filed under: uncultured bacterium
Lineage: Bacteria
Description: partial 16S ribosomal RNA
Rfam family: Bacterial small subunit ribosomal RNA
Source: RNAcentral